RNAcentral lists this ribosomal RNA (1206 nucleotides) under uncultured fungus. RNAcentral's name for it is "eukaryotic LSU rRNA". The stretch from base 598 to 1206 matches the Rfam family "Eukaryotic large subunit ribosomal RNA", at positions 1 to 649 of the family's 3401-position model. The record is from RNAcentral. Lineage: Eukaryota; Fungi.
AAGUCGUAACAAGGUUUCCGUAGGUGAACCUGCGGAAGGAUCAUUAAUGAAUUCUGAGUAGGCUCUGCCUCUCACCCUUCAUAUCCAUAGACACCUGUGCACAGUCGGACCCUUGAGUCUUUCGGGACUCCCGGUGUCUUGACGAUCUUAUCAAACAACAAUGUAACCAAUGUAAUCAUUAUUAUAACAUAAUAAAACUUUUAACAACGGAUCUCUUGGCUCUCGCAUCGAUGAAGAACGCAGCGAAAUGCGAUAAGUAAUGUGAAUUGCAGAAUUCAGUGAAUCAUCGAAUCUUUGAACGCACCUUGCACUCUUUGGUAUUCCGAAGAGUAUGCCUGUUUGAGUGUCAUGAAAUCUUCAACCAUUCUGUUGGGUGUUUACGCCUGGCGGUUUGGAUUGGACUUGGGUGUUUGUCGGACAAGCAAUUGUCUGACUCACCUUAAAAGGAUCAGUGGAUCUAUUGUCUUGGACUUUUGCAUUGCAAUUGGUUUGACUUGGCGUAAUAAGUAUUUCGCUAAGGACAGUGCUUCNGUGCUGGCCAUUGCUUUUCAACCGGACUUUGGAAAUCGCUUUCUAACCCUAAUUUUAUUUGACAUCUGGCCUCAAAUCAGGUAGGACUACCCGCUGAACUUAAGCAUAUCAAUAAGCGGAGGAAAAGAACUAACAAGGAUUCCCCUAGUAACGGCGAGUGAAGCGGGAAGAGCUCAAAUUUGAAAUCUAGUAGCCUUCGGCUGCUCGAGUUGUAAUCUAUAGAAAUGUUUUCCGUGCUGGCUCAUGUACAAGUCCCUUGGAACAGGGCGUCAUAGAGGGUGAGAAUCCCGUACUUGACAUGAAUUACCAGUGCUCUGUGAUACAUUUUCAAAGAGUCGAGUUGUUUGGGAAUGCAGCUCAAAAUGGGUGGUAAAUUCCAUCUAAAGCUAAAUAUUGGCGAGAGACCGAUAGCGAACAAGUACCGUGAGGGAAAGAUGAAAAGCACUUUGGAAAGAGAGUUAAACAGCAUGUGAAAUUGUUAAAAGGGAAACGAUUGAAGUCAAUCAUGUCCUUGGGUCUUACCACCCUUGGAUGGGGUCAACAUCAGUUUUGAUCGGUGGAUAAGGAUAGGAGGAAGGUAGCACUCUCGGGUGAACUUAUAGCCUCCUGUCGCAUACACUGGUUGAGACUGAGGUCUGCUAUUACAGGAUGUUGACAUAAUGGCUUUAAACGACC